AAAAAAUUCUAUUUUACUUGUAAUUUUAUUUUUUAAAAAGAAGAUUAUACUAUUUGCCUCUGUCCUUACUACCAUAAUUGACCAGUUUCAUUCAGUAAAAAUAUUUUUAACAAUAAAAAACAUUUUAUUUGGUUUCCUUUUACUAUACAUAACUAAAACAAAGGAAGGUAUUUAUUUAUUUAAUCCAUCUUUUUUGGCUUUUCCAAACAGGGUGUCUUUGUGUAGCUCUGGCUGUCCUGGAACUAGCUCUAUAGACAAAAUUGGCCUCGAACUCACAGAAAUCUGCUUGCUUCUGCCUCCUGAGGGCUGGGAUCAAAGGCGUGCGCCAGCACUGCCAGGCUAACAAGCAGCUUGAACGCAGCCUGGUAGGUGACUGUCUCCUAAGCACUGCCGAUGAAGGUUGUAUUGUAUGGGUCAAUGUCCCUUUGUUCGAGGCUUCAGGCUUUCUUCCCAGAUGAUUUUCAUGGUGGGGCGGGCGGGGUGGGGGAGGCUGUUGAGCUCACGUUUGUAAUGAGGGUGAGGCUGGCACACUCUAUAAAUACUUGGUUUCUCUUCAGACUGGUUGUACUGAGCCAGACUAAGAAUGCAGAGCUGAUCCUGAACCAGCCAAGCGAGGCGCCCAGAAUGCCCUUGGAGAGGCCAGGGUCCAAACUGAGAAUCCAGAUAGUAAACUUUUCCUACUCUGUCUGAUGGGCUCAUGGCUGCUCCUCCACUCGCCUGCCAACAGGAACACCAAUUACAUGCUCCAUUGGAAAAAGCAGGGUAGAACAGGAUCGGAAAUCCACUGUUUUAUAGCUAAGUUUAAUUUCAUUUCAUAGGCUUGAAAUAUCUAUAGCACCUAUAUAUUCCAGGCUGGCUCAAACUUGUGGUCCCCCUGCCUCAGCUUCUCCGGUGCUGGGAUGACAGGAGUCUACCACCUGUAUGUCACCAUGCCCAGCCUUACAAACCUCUUCUGAUCCAACGAGAUUAUUAUGAAUUAACAUGAAAUUCAGAAAGGCAAAUUUUAAUAUGAUCAACUUCUCUGUCUCGACAUGUCAUUUUUUUAUAUUGGAGCAAUUUCUUGAGUGUGGCAAAGAGUUGCACAAUAAACUAGCCUUUAGGAUUUC
This 1106-nucleotide long non-coding RNA is filed under the name Mus musculus (house mouse). RNAcentral's name for it is "long non-coding RNA chr5:123968789-123969895". Lineage: Eukaryota; Metazoa; Chordata; Mammalia; Rodentia; Muridae. The record is from RNAcentral.